Molecule: unclassified non-coding RNA, 696 nt
Filed under: uncultured fungus
Lineage: Eukaryota; Fungi
Description: partial contains ITS1, 5.8S rRNA and ITS2
Rfam family: 5.8S ribosomal RNA (bases 186-339)
Source: RNAcentral
CUAAGAAAUUGCCAAAUGGGUUGCCUUCGGUGCUGGCUCCUUGAAAGAGCAAGUGCACGUUGGUGGCUUUCAUCCAAUACCCCUGUGAACCUAGGCCUCUUGCUAGCUUCGGCUGGUGGAGGAUUUUUAUACAUACACACUCGAAUGUAAUGAAAAACUAUUGUCGUGCGCAAGCACUAAUGUACAACUUUCAACAACGGAUCUCUUGGCUCUCGCAUCGAUGAAGAACGCAGCGAAAUGCGAUAAGUAAUGUGAAUUGCAGAAUUCAGUGAAUCAUCGAAUCUUUGAACGCACCUUGCACCCUUUGGCAUUCCGAAGGGUAUGCUCGUUUGAGUGUCAUUGUACUCUCACACUCUCCAAUCCUUUGGGUUUGGGGAGCGGUGGACUUGGGUGCCUGCUGCUUUUCGUUGUGGCUCACCUUAAAUGCGUUAGUGCACCUCUUGGUUGGACAUAGUACGGCGUGAUAAGUGUCUUCGCCGGCACCUCGCAAGAGGGUGGUCAAUCUAGAGAGCUCUGUGCUUUCAAACCGUCUUCGGACAAUCUCUGACAACUUGACCUCAAAUCGAGUAGGACUACCCGCUGAACUUAAGCAUAUCAAUAAAGCGGAGGAAGUCUUGGUCAUUUACAGGAAGUAAGACUUAUCAUAACCUAAGGACGUCUUGGUCAUUUGAAAUGAAGAAAAAAUAAAAAUAAAUA